UGGGGAAUAUUGCACAAUGGAGGGAACUCUGAUGCAGCGAUGCCGCGUGAGGGAAGAAGGUUUUCGGAUUGUAAACCUCUGUCAACAGGGACGAUAAUGACGGUACCUGAGAAGGAAGCUCCGGCUAACUACGUGCCAGCAGCCGCGGUAAUACGUAGGGAGCGAGCGUUGUCCGGAAUUACUGGGUGUAAAGGGAGCGUAGGCGGGACUUUAAGUCAGGUGUGAAAACUAUGGGCUCAACCCAUAGACUGCACUUGAAACUGAGGUUCUUGAGUGAAGUAGAGGCAGGCGGAAUUCCUAGUGUAGCGGUGAAAUGCGUAGAUAUUAGGAGGAACAUCAGUGGCGAAGGCGGCCUGCUGGGCUUUUACUGACGCUGAGGCUCGAAAGCGUGGGGAGCAAACAGGGAUUAGAUACCCUGGGUAGU
This 424-nucleotide ribosomal RNA is filed under the name uncultured Oscillospiraceae bacterium. Its description in RNAcentral is "bacterial SSU rRNA". It matches the Rfam family "Bacterial small subunit ribosomal RNA", at positions 355 to 794 of the family's 1533-position model. The record is from RNAcentral. Lineage: Bacteria; Bacillati; Bacillota; Clostridia; Eubacteriales; Oscillospiraceae.